This is a long non-coding RNA of Balaenoptera ricei (Rice's whale), 336 nucleotides long. RefSeq lists it as uncharacterized. NCBI's taxonomy places the organism in Eukaryota, Metazoa, Chordata, Mammalia, Artiodactyla, Balaenopteridae. The transcript has 3 exons. The record is from RefSeq and is a predicted model, not a curated record.
GCAGGCGGGCCCCGGAGGAGGGUCCGGAAGAGGAGGGGAAGGAGGAGGGAGCGACAGGGAGGACUGGAGCCAACAGUGGUGAUCCACAGGGGGACACCGGUCCCCCUGCCUCUCCUGAGGGACUUCCCUGCUGCUGCAGUGGUUAAGAAUAUGCCUGCCAAUACAGAGGACAUGGGUUUGAUCCCUGGUCUGGGAAGAUCCCACAUGCAUGGAGCAACUAAGCCAGUGCACCACAACUACUGAGCCGGCGCUCUAUAACCCACGAACCACAACUACUGAGCCCGUGUGCCACAACUACUGAAGCCCGCAUGCCUAGAGCCCGUGCUCUGCAACAAG